RNAcentral lists this non-coding RNA (81 nucleotides) under Anabaena cylindrica PCC 7122. RNAcentral describes it as "Photosynthesis regulatory RNA1". It matches the Rfam family "Photosynthesis regulatory RNA1". Rfam says of the family: Formerly known as Syr1 discovered in Synechocystis sp PCC 6803, is a regulatory factor controlling photosynthetic functions. PsrR1 interacts with the ribosome binding regions of several photosynthesis-related mRNAs. The record is from Rfam by way of RNAcentral. Lineage: Bacteria; Bacillati; Cyanobacteriota; Cyanophyceae; Nostocales; Nostocaceae.
AAGAUUCUUCGUUUCGGUAUUGGUAUCUAAUCGUCAUUUGGAUUUCUCCUAUCAGCCCCGGCUAGUUUCACCGGGGUUUUU